This 226-nucleotide unclassified non-coding RNA is filed under the name Hevea brasiliensis (rubber tree). Lineage: Eukaryota; Viridiplantae; Streptophyta; Magnoliopsida; Malpighiales; Euphorbiaceae. The record is from RNAcentral.
CCGCGGAAAGCGACGAGAUCGUUACUCCUGCCAAGCUGCGUACGUAGCUUCUGUACUUCGUCGAUGAAGGUGUUCCACAUCUUCGGCCACAGCGGCGCAAUGAGGUCGAGCUGAUAGCGGAAAGCCACAACGGCCUUGCGGAAAUCAUGAACCUCCUCCGGAUUGGCAAUGUCCCAUUCGUGCGGGCGCCGCCGGCGGGCACGGCGAUAGGAUUUUGCGAGCGCGG